GAGUCAGUAAGAGCAGUAUUGUCCUCGGUACAGGCUAGGCGACACACUCUGUAGAGCCUCUCUAGUGCGAUCUGUCCGCUAAACAACCUAUCCGACGGUGUGUGUUAUGAUGGCGCAGUGGUGACGCUCUGGAGACAAGGUCAUUUACGAACAUAACAACCAGGACACAGGACAUUGGCAUCGGCGGAAGUUCAUUAACGCCAUCACAACGCGAUGGCGGUGGAAUAGGGAAGGCCUUGCGGAACAUGAGACAUCCGCGAGAGUGCUACGUAACGCACCACGGUCUGGAGAGACUGGAUGUGUCCGAGUGUUCUGUGUUUACACAACGGAUCUGAAAUCGAUCGAUUUUGAUUUACGGACAUCCGCGGGGGGACUGCUCCACGGUUAUGCCACGUUUUGGCGCAAAACUCCGUGCAGUUGGCCGUGCCGUAAUCGGAUUGUUCCGCUUGGUUGCCGGAUAAGCAAUCGGGUUGACUACCGACCGAUGCCGACGCACUCAAGGCAGGACGGGGAACAGUUGGCCGCGAAAAAGUUGGAGUCGCGUCUAUAUCUGCGUGCGUGAUAAGUGUAAUCAAAAGUUUGUGUUCGUGCGCCCACCGGAAGAACGCGUAAUAGAUAAAGAGAUACUCCUUCAGACGGGAUAAGGACGGCUGGCAAAAUGGCCGAAGCGGAACCCCUGUCACCGUCGGCGUCCUCGUUCAAGCAGAACUUUGAUCUCGUGACACCCGAGUUUGAAGUGGAUCCGAAGGUCCUGUGGGGCCGAGUACCGGUGCCACCAUUCGUCUCCGAUAAGGUGGUGACGUGGGUCGAGGAGAACUUCCCCCAUCAGCCAGCGGCACCGGUCGAGUUUCGUGGUCAGAACGUCGUGAGGAAGAUCGAAAAUGUUCGCAUGAUUGACAGAUACAACAGCAAAAAUCCGACCGUCGGUGUCCUGUACCUUACGGCCACGCAUCUCAUAUUCGUCGAUCCGGAUGCCAACAAGGAGACCUGGGUCCUGUACAUGCACAUUGCGAACGUGGAAAAGCUGCCGCUGAGCACGACCGGCUCACCAUUGUUGAUUCGCUGCAAGACGUUCCUCUCAAUCACGUUCGUCAUACCGAAGGAGCGUGAAUGUCACGAUGUCUACACCACACUGACGAAGCUCUAUCAACCGGUGCACAUCAAGAACCUGUACUGCUUCCAGUACACGACUGCCACUAAGGAGCUCUCAAAGGCCACCGGUUGGGACUACUUCAAGCUGGAGAGCGAAUUCAAACGGAUGCGCGUUCCGAAUGAGCAGUGGAGUGCCUGCACACUGAAUCAAAGCUAUGAGCUGUGCGAUACGUAUCCGCAGCAGAUUUAUGUCCCGGCCGAGGCCAACACCCAGAUACUGCUCGGUAGUUCACGUUUCCGCUCCAAGGGUCGGCUACCGGCACUUACCUAUCUGCAUGCCAACAAGGCAUCGAUCUGCCGAUGCAGCCAACCCCUGUCCGGUUUCAGUGCCCGCUGUCUAGAGGAUGAGCAGAUGCUGGAAACGAUCCGCAAGACCAAUCCGAACUACAGCUUCAUGUAUGUCGUUGAUACGCGGCCACGGAUUAAUGCCAUGGCGAAUCGGGCCGCCGGUAAGGGAUACGAGAACGAGGCAAACUACGAAAAUAUCAAGUUCCAGUUUCUCGGCAUCGAAAACAUCCACACAAUGCGUACCAGUCUGCAGAAGCUGAUAGAGUGUUGCGAACAGAAGUCACCCACAAUGAGUGGCUUCCUGAGUGCACUGGAAUCCUCCGGUUGGCUAAAACACAUUCGAUCGAUACUGGAUACAUCGUGCUUCAUCGCAAACGCCGUUGAUAAAGGUAUCUCGGUGGUGGUGCAUUGUUCCGAUGGUUGGGAUCGUACCGCACAAGUUUGCUCUCUGGCGGCACUCAUGCUGGAUCCGUACUACAGGACGAUUAAAGGCUUUCAGGCAUUAAUCGAGAAAGACUGGCUAGCAUUUGGUCACAAGUUCAGCGACCGUUGUGGACACAUUCAGAACGAUCCAAAAGAGGUGUCCCCGGUGUUUACCCAGCUGCUCGAUUGUAGCUGGCAACUGAUGCAGCAGCGCAACGAUGCGUUUGAGUUUAAUGAAAGAUUUCUGCUGAUCCUACACGAUCACGUCAUGUCCUGCCAGUACGGUACGUUCGUGGGCAAUUGUGAGAAGGACCGGCUCGAUCUCCGGCUGGCCGAAAAAACGUUCUCCCUGUGGGGCUUCAUGUCAAACCAUCUCAACGAGUACAUUAACCCACUCUAUCGGCCCGAAAUGGACGAAACCAUCAAGCCCAAUCUGGCACCACAAAACAUUAAGUUCUGGCGCGGCAUGUAUAGCCGGUUCGAGAGUGGCAUUCAUCCGCGGGAACCGCUGGAGGAUCUGCUUAUUGCCAGCAAGGACCAUUGUACCUCGCUCGAAGAUCACGUACAGCAUCUAACCAAACGCAUCAACAGCUUCAAGAACAUGCUCUCAAAGUCGGCCAAACGGUUACAAGGAGGUGUUAGUACUGGUGGAUCCCGCCACACCGACAAUCGUGGACCACCAAUCGAGGUGAACGAUAAUCGCUACAACUAUGAUCGCAAGCUAAGCGAACUGUCGGCCGCCGACGAUGAUCAUCCGCUGAAGACGAGCGAUUUCUCAUUUUCUAAUCUUUCGAUCUCUGAGUACAAUAACGAUGUGGAAAAGGUGAACGAUGAAGUCAAUUCUGUGGCCGUCGAAUGGAAAUCGUUGCGAUCGGUCGUAAACUGUCCCUCUUGUUCGAUACCGUUUGAUCAGAUUACUAAAAAGAAUCACUGCUGGAAGUGUGGUGAGGUGUUCUGCAACCGCUGUCUUGACAAGACCCUAUCGUUGCCGGGGCAUGAGAGUGGAAACCCCGUACCGGUUUGUCGGCACUGUUUCCGUCUCGUGCAGCAAGUAAGUCCGUAAAGUCUAUAUUACGCCCGCUGUAAUUGAGCUACCGUAUAUUCUCUCUGGAACGGUAGGCGCGCUGGUUGCAUACUUGAUCCACCAUUACUCUAAAUCGGCUAAUUUACAUCGAAAAAAUCACACUUUUACAAUUUACAUCACACAUUUUCCUUGGCUCUAUAAGAAACAUUCUUUUAGGUUCAAUCCAAACAUCAUCCAAAAGUUCAAAAUAGCAGAAUUUAAGUUAAGACCAAAGCAUAGAAGGGCUAAAUAGAGAACCGCUGGCUUGCAUGGAUCGGAAGGGGAUUCAUGUGCCGCGUUGAAGGGCUGUUGAUCUUAGCUGUUAGUUGUUUAUCAUAAAAUAGCCGCAACAGGCGAGCGAACCAUAUACAUAUAAAUGCACAUGCAUUAAUGCAACACAGCUGUAGAGCACCUGUGGUGAAUGACAUUGUUGUGGCAGUGCGGAAGCAUGCAUGCGAAGAGCCAUGUGUAUAGUCGUGAGAGCCAGAGUCAACAUGAUUCAACAGGCGAGCUUAUUGCUUGGCACUUGGAUGUAUUCGAUCCGAUUAUUAGUAUGAUAGCUAUUAAUGAGAGGCUGUAUUCUUCCGUUGUGAGAAUCAAAGGUAAAGUUCUCUUACUGGAGGGAUUAAACAAGCGGGCAUCAUGGUCCCGAAAAAGCAUACGCACAUAAAAUGCAGGCGUUACGAGUUAGGACGGUGGUUUAUGUUUAAUUUAUUUACCGUGCGUGAGUCACUGCAUAAUAUGAUUUCACGCGAAAAUGUUCCACUCUUUCCUAGAUCCGUUGCCAAUUCUAGUUUGCUAAGUAUUUUCCCUUUUAUUGCCUUCAGUAUUGUCUCUGUAUUGUUGGCUUCAGAGGAGGGGCUUUUUCUAAGCGUUUAUUGAUAAUUCGUAAGAAUGAAAGCAAAACAAUGCAAUGCCACUACUCUUCAAAAGAACUACUUUAUUACGGCGGCACUAGUGGAACACAUAACUAAGCAAGGCUGCUAAAAGAUAAGUGUAUGUGACUAACAUCACAAAAGUGUAAUAAAAACUGUUGCUCUCGGUCAGCUCAAUAUGUUUCAUGAAGAACAUCCACGAUAAAAUGGGAUACAAAAUGAAGGCGAAAUACAAUUUUCAUUCGCUGACGUGUUUUUGUUCGGCGGCUGUAGCGAUAAUAUCACUUAAAUCUAUUGGCCCUGUGUGAUUGAAUUUCGUAACGCAAUUAAAUUAGUGGCAAUCCGUAAUCAUAAUUCACAUCUCACUGCCGACAUCCUUUUACGCCGAUCGUGACAUUCCAAGCGUUAUAAAACCAACCGGAUAGCACGGAUGCCUUGCCUAUUACGGAGGAUUAUAAAAGCCACUCUGCUAUCUUCUUACUCCGUUACAUCUCUUUGUGCCCUUCAGUAACUAACAUGGAAGCGAUUUACCUUACCAUAUUCACUCUGCGAGGGAUCAUGGCAUUCGCGUUAGUUCUGCUUCUUGCAUCGACCUUCACACAUCACAGUACACUCGCAAGCCCAGCUGCAGCCGCUUUAGAUGCGGUAGCAUCAUCAGUGAACACAGCUUCCAGUGGCGCAUUAGAGACAUCUUCCGAUGCGACAUCCAUCACCGAUGCACUGGGGCGCAAGAUCUUUCUGCCAGUAUUUCGCAACAAAAAGAACCCGGUGCUCCAGCGACGACGUGCGCAAACCCGGCCGCCAGCUACUGGGCGCCAGUAAGGAUUCCGAUGCCCUCGUGCCCAACGUUCGAAGGCUCGUGGCGAACCAUUUAGUAUGCCCUCGCGAAUUGAUCGAACCUCAACCGCGAUCAAGACCCUUAUACUACUACAGUGCGGUGGUGUGUCUAUCAAAAUCGUUGUUUAAUCUGUGUGUAUGUACCUUAUGUUUUCAUCUCACUCGUUGCCUCGAACCUCAGCAAUAGUUCAAACAUCGCACGUGAUUGAACGCCUCUUGUUUGACCGUGUCAUUAUACCGGAGAACUGCCUGUUAUUCUCCUGGAACUGAGCCAAUGCAAUGUUGCAAUUUAGCGUUCCCACAAUUCUGGGAAUUCCGUUGCGUCUUGACGAAUGCGUAAGGCGUAAUACUCUGGCCGCAUUUUGGUGGGCCGAUCGGGGUUCAGCAUGCCAUAAGGAAUUAGCACUUUAUUGACAAAUUUUUCACAGCAUUUUGGGGAGCUGAUCGAAAACCCGCAGUACGGUUGUCUUUGGGUAGCUCUCAAAUGUUAUUUAUACUUUGCUAGGGUGUGUUCUCUAUACACCAUCUGUCGAAUGGCACGUGUUUGACGUCAAUUAUUAGCUUCGUAUGAGAAGUUUUUGUGCCAUCCACAACUCAGCUUUUAUGCUAAAACAGGAACUACAGAAGCGUUUUGUUCUAAUUAGCCCAUUUACACUAACAGGCAAUGCGAAACUUGUGUGUUUGGCCAAUCAAUUCUUCAUCAUUAGAUGGCGCACCAGAUUGCUGAAGCUUAAAAUUCGGUCAAUAAUUAGCAGAGUGUGAUAUUUGAUUAUAGCACAAUCGAACAAUCGAGUACCUUCGGCAUUAGGAGAUCAGUAUUUCGUAAUAGCGAAUAACGAGCCUUGCAGCUAAAUCUUGUAGCAGAAUUCAGGCA
Molecule: RNA transcript, 5512 nt
Organism: Anopheles darlingi
Lineage: Eukaryota; Metazoa; Arthropoda; Insecta; Diptera; Culicidae
Gene: Mtmr6
Gene name: myotubularin-related protein 8
Exons: 10
Source: RefSeq, a predicted model, not a curated record